Molecule: ribosomal RNA, 253 nt
Filed under: uncultured bacterium
Lineage: Bacteria
Description: partial 16S ribosomal RNA
Rfam family: Bacterial small subunit ribosomal RNA
Source: RNAcentral
UACGUAGGUGACCAGCGUUGUCCGGAUUUACUGGGCGUAAAGAGCGCGCAGGCGGUCGUUCAAGUCGAGUGCGAAAGCCCCCGGCUCAACUGGGGAGGGUCACUCGAUACUGAUCGACUGGAAGGCAGGAGAGGGAAGCGGAAUUCCCGGUGUAGUGGUGAAAUGCGUAGAUAUCGGGAGGAACACCAGUGGCGAAGGCGGCUUCCUGGCCUGUUCUUGACGCUGAGGCGCGAAAGCUAGGGGAGCAAACGGG